AGAGUUUGAUCCUGGCUCAGAUUGAACGCUGGCGGCAUGCUUAAUACAUGCAAGUCGAACGGUAACAGAUUCUUCGGAAUGCUGACGAGUGGCGGACGGGUGAGUAAUACAUAGGAAUCUGCCCAUGUAGUGGGGGACAACUUGGGGAAACUCAAGCUAAUACCGCAUAAUUCCUACGGGAUAAAGAGGGCCACUGCUUGCAAGCUCUUGCUACUGGAUGAGCCUAUGUCGGAUUAGUUAGUUGGUAAGGUAAUGGCUUACCAAGACAGCGAUCCGUAGCUGGUUUGAGAGGAUGAUCAGCCACACUGGGACUGAGACACGGCCCAGACUCCUACGGGAGGCAGCAGUAGGGAGUAUUGGACAAUGGGCGCAAGCCUGAUCCAGCAAUGCCGCGUGUGUGAAGAAGGCCUGCGGGUUGUAAAGCACUUUCAAUUGGGAAGAAAGAUUAUGAGUUAAUACCUUAUAAUAUUGACGUUACCAAUACAAGAAGCACCGGCUAACUCUGUGCCAGCAGCCGCGGUAAUACAGAGGGUGCGAGCGUUAAUCGGAAUUACUGGGCGUAAAGAGUACGUAGGUGGUUAAAUCAGUCGGAUGUGAAAGCCCCAGGCUUAA
RNAcentral lists this ribosomal RNA (612 nucleotides) under uncultured bacterium. RNAcentral's name for it is "bacterial SSU rRNA". It matches the Rfam family "Bacterial small subunit ribosomal RNA", at positions 8 to 612 of the family's 1533-position model. The record is from RNAcentral.